This 422-nucleotide ribosomal RNA is filed under the name uncultured bacterium. RNAcentral's name for it is "bacterial SSU rRNA". It matches the Rfam family "Bacterial small subunit ribosomal RNA", at positions 355 to 774 of the family's 1533-position model. The record is from RNAcentral.
UGAGGAAUAUUGGACAAUGGGCGCAAGCCUGAUCCAGCCAUGCCGCGUGCAGGAAGAAGCAUCUAUGGUGUGUAAACUGCUUUUGUACGGGAAGAGACACUCCUUCGUGAAGGAGCUUGACGGUACCGUAAGAAUAAGGAUCGGCUAACUCCGUGCCAGCAGCCGCGGUAAUACGGAGGGUCCAAGCGUUAUCCGGAAUCAUUGGGUUUAAAGGGUCCGUAGGCGGUUUAGUAAGUCAGUAGUGAAAGCCCAUCGCUCAACGAUGGAACGGCCAUUGAUACUGCUAGACUUGAAUUAUUAGGAAGUAACUAGAAUAUGUAGUGUAGCGGUAAAAUGCUUAGAUAUUACAUGGAAUACCAAAUGCGAAGGCAGGUUACUACUAAUGGAUUGACGCUGAUGGACGAAAGCGUGGAGAGCGAACA